CUUCUUUAAUUCUUGAGAUAUUAGUCAUCUCUAAUUCAGAUCAAUCAUAUUACUAUCCUGACAAUGAACACAAAUACCUAUCUAUAAGAAGCUAUAUAUGAACUUAAAUCUUGUAUUCUCUUGGCUCCAAUGCACACACAAUCAUAUUCCCAAACACAAAUGUUAUAUGAAAAAUUGAAGAAAGCGUAUCAUAUAUAUUACAUGUAGAAACCUAUAUAUACACCUAAUUUACUCGGUCCCUGCAAUCUUCUUCUUUAUCGACUCAAUAUCUGUUGCCAACUCUUUUCUGCUAGACUGAAAUAUAUAAAAUAUAAAAUUCCCAAAACAUCAGUAUGCAUCCCUUUUAAUUUCAACAUAAAAUGUGGCUAAACCAUACAUACUUGUAAUAUUUAAAAUUUUAAAAAAUUUACCUUGAACAGAAGGUAUCGGUACACAAACCAUCCGGUAUAUCCAAGUCCUACCAACUCAAAGAUCUUUGGAAGCUAUAGAAAACAUUAGACACCUGAUUUAGAAAAACAACAACUCAAAAACACCAUGCCAACAAGAUAUAUAUAACACAUACCAAUGGCACUGAGUUGACUGCACCAAUAAGGAUUGAAGAUAUCCAAAUUGCAACAACUGCUCCUCCUCCAUACACUAUAACUGUUGACUUGUUUUCAAGUGCAUCCCACUGUAAAGGAAACAAAUAUUGUAUCAGAAACAGAGACUGAUAAGUAAGUAGAUCAUGACAAAAGAAUUGAGUUGAGCUUAUAUAUGUUUCUUGAAUCUUCACCUUUUCCUUUAAGUCAUUGAACAAUUCAUUAGCAUCCGGAGGAGAUGAUGCAUCUUCUGAGGCCUUGAUCUUCAAUAGAGAUGACCUUCGUGAUACUAACAAGCAAUUAACAACUUACAUAUCAAAUGCUAUCCAGCUUUAUAGUACAGAGAACACACAUAUCUAAAAGAAACAACACGUGUAAUGGCUGGAACCCCAAAGUUCCGGAUUAAACUGAAUACUAGUUUCAACAUUGAUAAGAAUUUGCUUCAGAUCUAACACCAAAGGUUUCUAAUUUAGUGACCUUUUGCGAGGUUCAGUGAAGUACACUGUCUAAUGUACCUAGAAACGUAAAACAACCCAUGUUGGUUUUGAAGUUGAAAGAUUUAUUGUGUUCACUAAUUGAAUAACAGCUCACGACAAAUUUCAAAUCUACGAGGAAGUAGUUUACGUGAAGUUGUCAUUGAGAACCUCAAAAUCGAUCGAAAAUCCAGCUCACAGCCUAACUUGUAAACAAUAUGCUCGACGAAAUGCCUCAGAGAACAACAAUAGUAGCACCGACAAUAAAGUUACCUGAAAUCUGUUUGAUCGAAGUGGAAAACGAACGAGCUGGAAGGUGCGGUAACGAUGAGCAACGGACAGCGGUGGUGCUAGGAAGACGAG
This 1414-nucleotide long non-coding RNA is filed under the name Lactuca sativa (garden lettuce). RNAcentral describes it as "long non-coding RNA (LSAT_LNC003184)". Lineage: Eukaryota; Viridiplantae; Streptophyta; Magnoliopsida; Asterales; Asteraceae. The record is from RNAcentral.